Molecule: ribosomal RNA, 274 nt
Filed under: uncultured bacterium
Lineage: Bacteria
Description: partial 16S ribosomal RNA
Rfam family: Bacterial small subunit ribosomal RNA
Source: RNAcentral
AUACGGAGGGUGCAAGCGUUGCCCGGAUUUAUUGGGUUUAAAGGGUGCGUAGGUGGUUUUUUAAGUCAGUGGUGAAAGCCUACAGCUUAACUGUAGAGGUGCCAUUGAAACUGGGGAACUUGAGUAUGGACGAGGUAGGCGGAAUUUGUGGUGUAGCGGUGAAAUGCAUAGAUACCACAAAGAACACCGAUAGCGAAGGCAGCUUACUAGGCCAUAACUGUCACUGAGGCACGAAAGUGUGGGGAGCGAACAGGAUUAGAUACCCCGGUAGUCC